AUUGAACGCUGGCGGCAGGCCUAACACAUGCAAGUCGAACGGUAACAGGAAGCAGCUUGCUGUUUUGCUGACGAGUGGCGGACGGGUGAGUAAUGUCUGGGAAACUGCCUGAUGGAGGGGGAUAACUACUGGAAACGGUAGCUAAUACCGCAUAACGUCGCAAGACCAAAGAGGGGGACCUUAGGGCCUCUUGCCAUCGGAUGUGCCCAGAUGGGAUUAGCUAGUAGGUGGGGUAACGGCUCACCUAGGCGACGAUCCCUAGCUGGUCUGAGAGGAUGACCAGCCACACUGGAACUGAGACACGGUCCAGACUCCUACGGGAGGCAGCGGUGGGGAAUAUUGCACAAUGGGCGCAAGCCUGAUGCAGCCAUGCCGCGUGUAUGAAGAAGGCCUUCGGGUUGUAAAGUACUUUCAGCGGGGAGGAAGGGAGUAAAGUUAAUACCUUUGCUCAUUGACGUUACCCGCANAAGAAGCACCGGCUAACUCCGUGCCAGCAGCCGCGGUAAUACNGANGGUGCAAGCGUUAAUCGGNAAUUACUGGGCGUAAAGCNCACGCNNCGGUUUGUUAAGUCAGAUGUGAAAUCCCCGGGCUCAACCUGGGAACUGCAUCUGAUACUGGCAAGCUUGAGUCUCGUANAGGGGGGUANAAUUCCAGGUGUAGCGGUGAAAUNGCGUAGAGAUCUGGAGGAAUACCCGGUGG
This 700-nucleotide ribosomal RNA is filed under the name uncultured bacterium. RNAcentral describes it as "bacterial SSU rRNA". It matches the Rfam family "Bacterial small subunit ribosomal RNA", at positions 28 to 716 of the family's 1533-position model. The record is from RNAcentral.